Molecule: long non-coding RNA, 288 nt
Filed under: Lathyrus oleraceus (garden pea)
Lineage: Eukaryota; Viridiplantae; Streptophyta; Magnoliopsida; Fabales; Fabaceae
Description: Pisum sativum (pea) long non-coding RNA (PSAT_LNC006535)
Source: RNAcentral
AAACACCAAAUAAAUGGCCAAGGGAUUUAUCCUAGGUCAAACAAGGUCAAAGGACCUUAGACAAAAAAUUUCACUAUUUUUGAGAAGUCAUAAGUAUUUUUAAACAUUUAAAAAUAUGCACAAAAACAUUUAAUUCAUGAAAAAUAUCAAAAUUAAUCCAAAAAAUAAUUUUAAUUAAGAAUAUGGAAGAGUAGAAUAUUUAAAGAUUUUUGGUGAAAGUCUCAUAUUAUGAAAUUUCUAUGAAUUAAACAAAAUAAAUGAAUUAAAUGAAAAAUCAGAAAUAAAAAA